RNAcentral lists this long non-coding RNA (1435 nucleotides) under Coffea arabica (coffee). RNAcentral describes it as "long non-coding RNA (CARA_LNC008304)". The record is from RNAcentral. Lineage: Eukaryota; Viridiplantae; Streptophyta; Magnoliopsida; Gentianales; Rubiaceae.
UUACUCUUAUUUAUCUAUUGUUUUCCUUACGGUUUCUUAAUAGAGCUAUAAGAUUCCUCUUGUCUUAUAAGUCUAAUUAUUUAACUUAUAAUAAAAUAACACAUGUUUAGGGUUUGCAGUUUAGUAUGCUUAAAUAUCCCCUUGGCCUACUGAACACAGGCUGAACUUCCCUUUUAACCGGGACGCGAGCGAGGGAUAUUCUGCUUCCUCUCACCACCUGGUAUAGUAUGGAACUCUUAACUUCUAAUCCGAUUUAAUAAGGCUGCUUAAGAGCUCUGGAGAGCUCUUUAGCACCUGCCUUGAUAGUCGGAAUCUCUUAAAACUAACAAUGAGUUAGACUCCUUUCGAGAAAAGAGGAAGUCUUAGGUAAGGCUUCCGAUUACACUCGAAAGACAAGCGAAGAGAAGGAUGUCAUGGGUAUGGCAUCCAAUUGCAAGCGAUAAGGGCGGCGGGGCUAAAGCGCACCCCCCCUUAGGGGGCCGGGGGGACGGAGCACGAAUAGCAUAACCAAACUCCCUUCGGUCUUCGACCUGCGGGGCUUAGCAUCCCCUCCGUUUCUCUUCCCUCCGGUCGACGCAAAAGCAACUCAAAAAGUCCCUUAAUUUCUAACUAGCUAAAAGUAGCUCUUGUUUUCCUUGAGUGAAGGAGUCCUUGGUAGGGCUCCUGAACGGGCUAAGAGAGUCUUGUUUUAAGUAGCGAACAUCAGUAGCUGCGAGCGUACACAUAAAGGGAGCAAGCAGCUACCAGAGUGAGCGUUUCAAGGGAGUGAGUUCUCCUUAGGAAGGAGGACGAACGGGUGGGGGCGGGUGAAGUUUAAGCCUACUUAUAUGCAAUCCUCAACUCAAAUGUUUGUAUUAAGAAUGAAGAAAAGAGCUCUACCAUGUUCUACCAGUAUGGAGCCGAGUUCUUCAACGCGUGCCUAACUACGCUACUUCCUAGAUAGUAAAGCAGCCGAUACUUUGGGCAACAAGAGAGACUUAUCCUGGGCUUUUAGUUCUGGACUCCUCUCUUGUUAAUCACAGCCGUCUCGUGCUUGUUCCUCGAGCUUAUUAAGCCGGAAGCCGGGUAGGGAAGCCCAUCUAACCUUUCGGACGACUUCCGGGGGUCAUGCCUCUUAGAAACAACCUUUCUGUGAUCAUCUAAGCUAAUAUGAGUUAGGAGUUCUUGUUCCUUUUUUUAGUUAACCCUGGGACUAAUAAUAGAAAAGAAGCUAUAAGCAGUGAGUGAUCCUUGGUAAGGAGCACGAACGAGAGCCUUCUUUACGUAUUGGAGUCUUGUAUACUAGUAUUAGUAUGAACGAGAUUAGUCAGAAGAAGAGAGAGUUUAUUCCUUUAAUGUCUUACAGUUUAUUAAGGAAGAAGUAGCUCUUCACCCCCCGAGGGGGAGAGCGAAGCGAGGGGGUAACGGUCCUUUCUACUCUUAUUAUAGUAUCUCU